UCGGGAGCUAGGCCCACAAAACAAGCAACGCGAUGCGGCCCAAUCCAGUGAGUCUCGGAUGUUUUUGCAAAAGAACCCCUGCUUUGGAUCGCGAUAGGGGUUAUUUUCAAUUUACCCCUUAUUUAUUUAGGAUCGCUAGCUAUCAACAGUAGCGAUCCUGAUUUUUUGCAUUUUAGCCCCUGUUUUGAGUGGCUCAUCGCGUUUCGCUCUCGCCUCCGGCGGCGCCCGCCGCCGGCAUCGCCGUGGGAGCCCCGCCCAACCAUGCUCCUCUUCUCCGCGGGAAGAGAAAGGCUCCUAGAUCACUGCGAGAGCUGCCCCCAACCCAAUCAUCGCCGCUGGCCGCUGCAGCCGGA
RNAcentral lists this long non-coding RNA (353 nucleotides) under Oryza sativa (Asian cultivated rice). RNAcentral's name for it is "long non-coding RNA (OSAT_LNC000083)". The record is from RNAcentral. Lineage: Eukaryota; Viridiplantae; Streptophyta; Magnoliopsida; Poales; Poaceae.